This is a long non-coding RNA of Entelurus aequoreus (snake pipefish), 3026 nucleotides long. RefSeq lists it as uncharacterized. The transcript has 5 exons. The record is from RefSeq and is a predicted model, not a curated record. Lineage: Eukaryota; Metazoa; Chordata; Actinopteri; Syngnathiformes; Syngnathidae.
GUGGGUCAAUUGACACAGUCAAUUCCUCGCAGUCUUUCUUUGUGGUUACACUGUGAUUUCAGAACAGAUCAUUUUUUUAAAUUCUGCGUUUCCCACACAUUAAUUUUUUUCGUGGUAGACCGCCACAAAUAGAUUUGGAGCUAACAGGAUAUCCUGCUUGGACUUGCAUGGAAAAAGCUCCCUGCAGACUCAAGAAUAAGCCAACUCACCUUGAGCUCCAACACAAGAUCCAUCCGCUUCUUUCCAAGCGGGUUGAUGUCAUUCAGGAUCAGAGCAAUGAUGAUAUCGAUUCCAUUGGACUCGGGCCUUGGCAGUACUCAGUGAGGCUCUCUAGAGUUUGGUUGAUGAGGGCAACAUUCUUCUCGUUGAUGUACAGUCCCAACAAGCCCAGACCUCCUGUGGUGCUGCCGCAGAUGCAGUCCAGGAACUGAAGAGUCUCACACACCAGGUUGUAGUUGUUCUUGUGGUUUUGACAACGAAGAAAGUUCUGAGGAGAUAGAAACAGUCGGUUAGCUAAACUGCAUAGAAUGAUAUAUGAUCAAUCGAUUGCAACUAGACUGUUCAGUUUGUUUAAAAAGACAAGACAGGCUUCAUCAGUUCAAGCUCACAGACUCAGAUUGGUCAGAUCUACUGUAGUUGAAGUCUGCGGACUUGAUCUGACCAAUUGAAGAUUGUUUUCUAAGAACUUUUCGGUACUUUUCUAAAUAAAGGGGACCACAAAAAAAUUUAUUAAUUCCUUUAUUUUAACAAAAAAUCUUAGGGUACAUUAAACAUACGUUUCUUUUGGAAGUGAUAAAUAAAAUAGUGAACAUACAAAACUUGUCUUUUAUUAGUAAGUAAGCAAACAAAGGCUCCUAAUUUAGCUGCUGACAUAUGCAGUAACAUAGUGUCAUUUUCCAUUCUAUUAUUUUGUCAAAAUGAUUAAGGACAAGUGGUAAAAAAUUAAUUAUUAAUCUACUUGUUAAUUUACUGUUAAUAUCUGCUUACCGGUACUUUUCAGAGGCAGUAUAGUACCGAAUAUGAUUCAUUAGUAUCGAGGUACUAUACUAAUACCGGUAUACCGUACAACCCUAGUUCAAACUUAUAAUGGUCAGUAGACUCCAUAUAGAAGCGCUAAAGACUACAAUGGCUGACGGGGAGAAGACGCUGUCGAAGUGGAGCCACGUAAACAAGACCGCCCACAAAACGGCGCAUCCUGAAGAGACGGUCAGAAAGCGGCUUUGUAAAACAUAAUCUAUGCAACAUUUUGACCAAAAAACACCAUUAAAAAAAAUCAUAUGACCCCCUUAAAGCAGUUUUGAGUAACAGCAAGAGAUAAAAACACCUUGUCAUCAUCAAUCACAACACAAGUACGGUAGAAGCUGAUACAGUCUAUCUUCAUUAUCUCAUCAUGAAACAGUCUUGUGUAAUGCCUUCAGAAUACCAUUAUUAAACACGUGUACAGAGUAACCAAGGUGAACAUCACGCCCAUUAAAAGCAGCAAAGAGUGAGAGCCAAAUGUAAAACUCAUCAAGUGCACCUUGGCUUGACCAGACCAACCUGCAAGUCACGGUUGUGAUUCUCGCAGAGUAGCUGCAGGAAGCGAAGGAUGGGCUGCAUGAUAAUGAUGACGUAACUCAUCUCUCCUUCGUCCUGAUUCUUGUCCCCGGCGCUUGGCUGGCCAUCUGCUGAGGUGAAGUGGUCCUCUGGGUCAGCUUCACGCCGAUAAGAGUUAAAAGCCUUCUUGGUGGCAGACGAGGCCUCCACGAGUUGCUCUCGCACUUCCUCUGUCAUGACGACCGCUGAUUCUCUUGCUGAACACACACAAAUCAGAUUCCACAGGCUCAUGCCCCACCCCGGGCCUCCACCACUAAGCGGAAGCUCUCCUGCACGUACGCACCAUCAACACUCAGGGAUGAGCAGACAGCAGACUAAGGAGGGAGGCGGGGUAGAGAGUUGCUGAGCCAGGCCGCCCGUCGCCCAAUAAACAACUCUGAUGACAGAGUGGAGUGAGGGACUGCCUACAACUCACAGAAGGGCUGCACGAUUCUGGAAAAAAUGUGAACCAACAUUUUUUGAGACGAUUUUUUCACACAUGCGCACACACAUAGCUCAGUGCUUACAAGAAAUUGCACUGUUUAUUAUCUUUACUAUCAUUAUUACCUCUGCCGGGAGUUUAUGUAAUCACCAGGGUGUGUCUAUUUAUCAAUUAUUGAGCAAUGAUUUUUGGGUGGGUAUUAAUAAAACUUUCAGGAAAUGUCCAAAAAGUGAUAAGCAAUAUCUGAUUUGAUUUUGGGGGUGUUCCGGAUAAUUUCUACUACAAUACGACAAUGUUACAAAGCUGAACUUCUGUGUAUGUGUAGGUUAGCGGCCCCGCCUCCGCCCACAGAGACAAAGACAGUGGUAACUGAAAGAGGCUUCACUCUGUUGAUCUUAUUUUGCCAUAGUGAUGGGCAGAUAUUGAUGAAACUGUUAGGAAAUGUCACAAAUGGGAUAAGGAACAAGUGAUUAAGUGACAAGUGAUUACAUUUUGGGGGUGAUCCUGAUCACUGUCUGGAUACUUCACUUUAUCAGACUUGGUGAGGCAGCAUUUUAAUUUUAUGCUCCUAAAAUCUGGAACAGUCUGACAGUAGAUGUAAGACUUGCCUCAACGUUGGCAAUGCUCAAACCCAGGCUGAAAAAACUUUUAUUUAACUGUGCAUAUGACAACUGAACAUAUUUUAUCUAAACUCUUUGAUUAAAAUUGAAUUAAUUCAUCAUUGUUUUUUGCCUUCAGUACCAAUUGUGCUCUAUAAAUAAACAUGCUUUGCCUACUAUCGGGAGACUAUUAGGUCUCCGUGCUAUUUAAAUGCUUUUUUUAGUUAUUAUUUUUAUCAUUAGGCAAUGCAAGGUAAGGCAGUUUUAUUUAUAUAGCACAUUUCAUACACAAGGUAGGUUAAUGUAAAUGGUAAAUGGGUUAUUCUUGUAUAGCGUUUUUCUACCUUCAAGGUACUCAAAGCACUUUGACACUAUUUCCACAUUCACCCAUUCACAAACUGAUGGUGGGA